GAUGAACGCUGGCGGCGUGCCUAAUACAUGCAAGUCGAGCGAACAGACGAGGAGCUUGCUCCUCUGACGUUAGCGGCGGAAGGGUGAGUAACACGUGGAUAACCUACCUAUAAGACUGGGAUAACUUCGGGAAACCGGAGCUAAUACCGGAUAACAUGUUGAACCGCAUGGUUCAACAGUGAAAGACGGUCUUGCUGUCACUUAUAGAUGGAUCCGCGCCGCAUUAGCUAGUUGGUAAGGUAACGGCUUACCAAGGCAACGAUGCGUAGCCGACCUGAGAGGGUGAUCGGCCACACUGGAACUGAGACGCGGUCCAGACUCCUACGGGAGGCAGCAGUAGGGAAUCUUCCGCAAUGGGCGAAAGCCUGACGGAGCAACGCCGCGUGAGUGAAGAAGGUCUUCGGAUCGUAAAACUCUGUUAUUAGGGAAGAACAAAUGUGUAAGUAACUAUGCACGUCUUGAUGGUACCUAAUCAGAAAGCCACGGCUAACUACGUG
RNAcentral lists this ribosomal RNA (497 nucleotides) under uncultured bacterium. RNAcentral's name for it is "partial 16S ribosomal RNA". It matches the Rfam family "Bacterial small subunit ribosomal RNA", at positions 28 to 507 of the family's 1533-position model. The record is from RNAcentral.